UUUACUUGGAGCCCGAACUCUCACUUUCUAACCCUGUGCAUCUGUUAUUGGUUAGUAGCUCUUCGGAGUGAACUCCAUUCACUUACAAACACAAAGUCUAUGAAUGUAUACAAAAUUAUAACAAAACAAAACUUUCAACAACGGAUCUCUUGGCUCUCGCAUCGAUGAAGAACGCAGCGAAAUGCGAUACGUAAUGUGAAUUGCAGAAUUCAGUGAAUCAUCGAAUCUUUGAACGCACCUUGCGCUCCUUGGUAUUCCGAGGAGCAUGCCUGUUUGAGUGUCAUGAAAUCUUCAACCCACCUCUUUCUUAGUGAAUCUGGUGGUGCUUGGUUUCUGAGCGCUGCUCUGCUUCGGCUUAGCUCGUUCGUAAUGCAUUAGCAUCCGCAACCGAACUUCGGAUUGACUUGGCGUAAUAGACUAUUCGCUGAGGAUUCUAGUCUCGUACUAGAGCCGGGUUGGGUUAAAGGAAGCUUCUAAUCCUAAAGUCUAUUUUUUGAUUAGAUCUCAAAUCAGGUAGGACUACCCGCUGAACUUAAGCAUAUCAAA
This 546-nucleotide ribosomal RNA is filed under the name Rhodotorula glutinis. RNAcentral describes it as "eukaryotic LSU rRNA". The stretch from base 130 to 283 matches the Rfam family "5.8S ribosomal RNA". The record is from RNAcentral. Lineage: Eukaryota; Fungi; Basidiomycota; Microbotryomycetes; Sporidiobolales; Sporidiobolaceae.